RNAcentral lists this ribosomal RNA (1042 nucleotides) under Streptomyces albovinaceus. RNAcentral's name for it is "bacterial SSU rRNA". It matches the Rfam family "Bacterial small subunit ribosomal RNA", at positions 35 to 1095 of the family's 1533-position model. The record is from RNAcentral. Lineage: Bacteria; Bacillati; Actinomycetota; Actinomycetes; Kitasatosporales; Streptomycetaceae.
GCAAUGCGGCGUGCUUACCAUGCAGUCGAACGAUGAAGCCCUUCGGGGUGGAUUAGUGGCGAACGGGUGAGUAACACGUGGGCAAUCUGCCCUUCACUCUGGGACAAGCCCUGGAAACGGGGUCUAAUACCGGAUAACACUCUGUCCUGCAUGGGACGGGGUUGAAAGCUCCGGCGGUGAAGGAUGAGCCCGCGGCCUAUCAGCUUGUUGGUGGGGUGAUGGCCUACCAAGGCGACGACGGGUAGCCGGCCUGAGAGGGCGACCGGCCACACUGGGACUGAGACACGGCCCAGACUCCUACGGGAGGCAGCAGUGGGGAAUAUUGCACAAUGGGCGAAAGCCUGAUGCAGCGACGCCGCGUGAGGGAUGACGGCCUUCGGGUUGUAAACCUCUUUCAGCAGGGAAGAAGCGAAAGUGACGGUACCUGCAGAAGAAGCGCCGGCUAACUACGUGCCAGCAGCCGCGGUAAUACGUAGGGCGCAAGCGUUGUCCGGAAUUAUUGGGCGUAAAGAGCUCGUAGGCGGCUUGUCACGUCGGAUGUGAAAGCCCGGGGCUUAACCCCGGGUCUGCAUUCGAUACGGGCAGGCUAGAGUGUGGUAGGGGAGAUCGGAAUUCCUGGUGUAGCGGUGAAAUGCGCAGAUAUCAGGAGGAACACCGGUGGCGAAGGCGGAUCUCUGGGCCAUUACUGACGCUGAGGAGCGAAAGCGUGGGGAGCGAACAGGAUUAGAUACCCUGGUAGUCCACGCCGUAAACGUUGGGAACUAGGUGUUGGCGACAUUCCACGUCGUCGGUGCCGCAGCUAACGCAUUAAGUUCCCCGCCUGGGGAGUACGGCCGCAAGGCUAAAACUCAAAGGAAUUGACGGGGGCCCGCACAAGCAGCGGAGCAUGUGGCUUAAUUCGACGCAACGCGAAGAACCUUUACCAAGGCUUGACAUAUACCGGAAAGCAUCAGAAUGGUUGCCCCCCUUGUGACGGUAUACAGGUGAGUGCAUGGUUGUCGUCACUCGUCGUCUGAAAUGAUGGGUUGAGUCUCUACAGUAG